Molecule: long non-coding RNA, 1177 nt
Organism: Stegodyphus dumicola
Lineage: Eukaryota; Metazoa; Arthropoda; Arachnida; Araneae; Eresidae
Source: RefSeq, a predicted model, not a curated record
UUUAAAUUUAAUGUUUGGUGUUCCCUUUAGGUAUUUUUCCGGUACAGAAGCCAAUAAAUCAUUACGGUUAAAAGCCAGAAGGCUGGCCGAGUAGCGGAUAGUUAUAAAUAGUUGCACUAUUGUUUGAAAACUUCAAUCGAAAGCUUGGGAAUAUCUUAAACAGAAAACUUGGGAAUAUGUAAGAUAAUGGGAAAUCUUUUCUCACCAAAAUCUCUCAAAUUCGUUUUUAAAAAAUACCUUUUCGUUUUCUUGUGACUUCUGCCCAUGAUGCGCUGGCCUUAUGAGAACAAAGAAGAUGGAACAUGGGAAAUUUACAGACAGAAUUUUAAACUGAUGAAGAUUCUUCGUAUGAAGAGAACAACAAAUGUAAUGGUCACAUAAAUUGCAGUGAUAAUAUUGAAAAUUAUAAAGAAUGCCGGUAUUACAAUUUAUUUUGAAACGAAAGUACCAUAAGCAGUAAAAUACGUAAUUUACAAACACGCAAAAAAAAGGGUGGGCCUGGAUUUAUGCACACAGUAGUAUUUCAUCUAUUCCAGUUUACGAAAAAGGUGCAGUUGCACAAAACACAUAUCCGAACUUUACUAUUGUUUGUUACAGAUAUAUCAUCUAAUACAGAACAACGGGAUUUUUAAAGUAGAAUAUCCGUGCCCAUGCAUGAAGUCAAAUUACCGAGUCAUCGGCGUUUCAGAUCUAUGUGUUAACAGUUACAAAACGACAUCUAAUGAAGACUACGUCUCAAUUCCUUCCAUAACCUUCCCCCUCCCGCAAAAGAAAGCGAUUUUGGAGAAGUCGUAGAGUUCACAGUCGAUCAUGAAUUAUCUUUCAUCUCUUUAGUAAAGACUCAGAUAUACAAACCGGGGGUUAAAAGCUAAAAAUAUAUGAAAAUAAACUCUACAAUCCUUCAAAGGUCAACAUGAGAUUGCUGCAAUUUCUGUGUACGGAAAAAGGCCUUAAAUAGUUUCUAGACACAUAAGAAAUAUAUAUAUAUAUUAUUGAAAGUCGCGCCUUCUCUGAAUGUUUAUUGUCACUAGCAGAAACGGUUUUAUAAUCACUGCUUUUCUUCAGUGUGAUGUUUAUGAGUUAAUAUUGUUACGAAUUUGGUAUUUAAAAAGCUAAUGUUAGUUCAAUUAUAAAUUAAAUGGUUUUAUUUCUUGCGCAGUGCAGCGCGUGACGAAUA